This 2269-nucleotide long non-coding RNA is filed under the name Mus musculus (house mouse). RNAcentral describes it as "long non-coding RNA chr2:156271081-156273350". Lineage: Eukaryota; Metazoa; Chordata; Mammalia; Rodentia; Muridae. The record is from RNAcentral.
GGCUUUUCUCCUCAGAGCCUGCUCUGUCUCUCUUUCCACCUCUGCCACGGCCACACUGGAGCUGCAGAUUGUACAUGGAUCUCUUCUCAUUCCUUUGGUUUAUUCCCUGUUCUCUGUUUCCCAUUCCAGUCCUCUUCUCUCUUCUUUUGCCCUCCUCAGAUCCCUGAGUCCCGCCUUCCUGCUGGGGCUCUCUAAUCUUUCUUCUGUCUCUUUUUGGAUUUCCAUCUUUCAGGUUUGAGGAGAGCGUCUUAUGCUUUAGGCCAAAAGUAGAGAAUGAAGCACUAUCCAGUCUUAGCACCUGCUGAGUUAGUGAUCCAUGGCAGUGCCUGAGACUUGUGUUGGCUUUAAUGUAGAUCUUCUAAACAAAGCAAAACAAAAUAAACCACCUAUAACCAGUGACAGCUGACUUAGCACGUAGACCUUGAAAACAGGAAACAAGCCCUAAUCCGUGACACACAUUUUAUUUUUUAAUUUUUUAAUUUUUUUUUUUUUUUUUUUUUUUUGCUGGCCUCGAACUCAGAAAUCCGCCUGCCUCUGCCUCGCGGGUGCUGGGAUUAAAGGCGUGCGCCACCACCGCCCGGUGACACACAUUUUAAGAAUGAGCCUGCGUGGUGGUGCGUUUUCUUAGUAUUGGGUAGGUGAGGGUUUGUUCAGUUUUCUUUUUUUUUCUGGACUGGUCAGCUGGCUUUGAAAAGAUUUGAUGCUUAGAAUGGCUGAAGGAGUCAGAUGAGGUGGAGCAGGUCUGUGAUGCCUCCAUUGAGAGGUCAGGGUCAUCUUUGGCUACAGUUGCAGGCUACCUUUACUGUGUGUGAGAGCCUGUUCCUUUCUGGUUCCUCUCCCCAGGAUCUCAGGACUCUUACUUAGUAAUAACUGUCUAACCCCAGCACUCGGGAGCUAGAGGCAAGAGGAUCAGGAGUGGAAAGUCAUCCCUUGAUAUAUUUGUAGUUUGAGAUCAGUUUGGGCUUUUUACUACACUAAUUUUUUCUUCUCCAAAUAAAGCAAGAUUACAAGGGCAUGAUCAGCAGUGCAUGCCUGCAAUCUCAUCGACUCCAGAAACUGAGGCAGGAGGUUUACAGAUCCCAGAUCCUCUUAGCAAGGAGACACUGUUCUUCCCCUGCCCCGUCAAGAGACUUUUAUGCCGCCCACACAUGUUUUUAAGAGGCUGUGUUCGAGUGUGGUAUUUUAAAGUGAAGGUUUAGAGGCUCUGGGUCUUAGACAAAGCCACAAAAAGAUGGAGGCAGGCAGAGCAUCAGCCUCUGCAGAGCAUCAGCCUCUUUCCAAGGAAGCAGCUUCUCACUCGUUCCUUUAUCUUGGCUUCCCUUAAGGAUGGCUGUGGGUUUUCAGGAUUUAGUAAUGUAUCUGAUAUCUAUGAAGGGUCUUCUCUCUUUCUUUUUGUAUAUAAAAUGCACAAUUAGACACAGAGAAGUUAUAUAUUUUUGUGUGCUUUGUAUAUAUUACAGCUGUGGAUUCAAACUCUCAAACUUUGCAACCAAUAACAUUGGAAUUGAGAAGACGGAAAAUAUCAAAACGAAGUGACACCCCAUUAAAGCGUCCCAGACUCGACAAAAAUUCACGUGAGUCCCCAGUUUAUGAAUAUGUGGCUAGAAUUUGAUAAAUUACUUGAGUCAGCUCCUGUGUCUGUCUGUCCCUGUUUCUUAUGAGUACUAAUGACUGUCUUUGAAUACAUGAGCUAAUGUGAGUGGAAUGUGAUUGAGAUAGUAGUUUUUAAAUGCUAAAAACAACAGGACCGAGUUUGUGGUGGGCUCAGUGAUAGCAUAUCUACUUCCAUAAAGUAUAUUAGAUUUAGAUUCCUUCAGAAAUAUAUGGCCUACUAUACUAAGGAUAGAUUUCAUGUGGUGAGAAAAACUUCAGCCAGCCACGGUGGCACACACUUUCAACCCUAGCACUAGGGAGGCAGAGGGAGGCUGAUCUCUGUGAGUUUAAGGACAGCCAGGUCUACACAGAGAGACCCUGUCUGAAAAAACAAAGAGAAUAUUAGAAAUACUAUUUUUUUUUACUAGAAAACAAGCAUGUUGACCCCAAAAAGGAAUUAUGAUGGUUUUAAAAUAAGGUUCUCAUAAGCCAUGUUUGACUUUAGGAGUUAGUACACAGUCCUUCAUGUUGGAAGCUCCAAAUUAGAGCUGUGGUCACGAUAGGCACAUGCCGCCUGGCGUGGUGGGGAACGCCUUUAAUCCCAGCACUUGGGAGGCAGAGGCAGGCGGUUCGAGGACAGCCAGGGCUACACAGAGAAACCCUGUCUUGAAAAACC